This 253-nucleotide ribosomal RNA is filed under the name uncultured bacterium. Its description in RNAcentral is "partial 16S ribosomal RNA". It matches the Rfam family "Bacterial small subunit ribosomal RNA", at positions 524 to 776 of the family's 1533-position model. The record is from RNAcentral.
UACAGGGGGUGCAAACGUUGCUCGGAAUUAUUGGGCGUAAAGCGCGCGUAGGCGGCUACUUAAGUCGGAUGUGAAAGCCCUUGGCUCAACUGAGGAAGUGCACCCGAAACUGAGUGGCUUGAGUACUAAAGAGGGUCGCGGAAUUCCCGGUGUAGAGGUGAAAUUCGUAGAUAUCGGGAGGAACACCGGUGGCGAAGGCGGCAUCCUGGACCGACACUGACGCUGAGGAGCGAAAGCCAGGGGAGCAAACGGG